GACGAACGCUGGCGGCGUGCCUAAUACAUGCAAGUCGAGCGAAGUUUUUCUGGUGCUUGCACUAGAAAAACUUAGCGGCGAACGGGUGAGUAACACGUAAAGAACCUGCCUCAUAGAUUGGGACAACUAUUGGAAACGAUAGCUAAUACCGGAUAACAGCAUUAACUGCAUGGUUGAUGUUUAAAAGUUGGUUUUGCUAACACUAUGAGAUGGCUUUGCGGUGCAUUAGCUAGUUGGUGGGGUAAAGGCCUACCAAGGCGACGAUGCAUAGCCGACCUGAGAGGGUGAUCGGCCACACUGGGACUGAGACACGGCCCAGACUCCUACGGGAGGCAGCAGUAGGGAAUCUCCCGCAAUGGGCGAAAGCCUGACGGAGCAACGCCGCGUGAGUGAAGAAGGAUUUCGGUUCGUAAAGCUCUGUUGUUAGGGAAGAAUGAUUGUGUAGUAACUA
This 451-nucleotide ribosomal RNA is filed under the name Gemella haemolysans. RNAcentral's name for it is "bacterial SSU rRNA". It matches the Rfam family "Bacterial small subunit ribosomal RNA", at positions 28 to 466 of the family's 1533-position model. Lineage: Bacteria; Bacillati; Bacillota; Bacilli; Caryophanales; Gemellaceae. The record is from RNAcentral.